AACGCACGAGACCUGCGGACCUGCGGAAGGAUCAUUAAUGAGAAGCUGCCCCUCGUGGGUAAACCUCCCACCCUCUGUGAACUUACCUUUGUUGCUUUGGCAGGCCCGUCCUCUGGACCGCCGGCUUCGGCUGGCCCGUGCCUGCCAGAGGAUUCCAAACCCUGUCUGUCAGUGUUGUCUGAGUCUAUAUGAAAUCGUUAAAACUUUUAGCAAUGGAUCUCUAGAUCGGAAGAGCACACG
This 240-nucleotide unclassified non-coding RNA is filed under the name soil metagenome. Its description in RNAcentral is "partial contains 5.8S ribosomal RNA, internal transcribed spacer 2, and large subunit ribosomal RNA". The record is from RNAcentral.